This 1091-nucleotide long non-coding RNA is filed under the name Marmota monax (woodchuck). The record is from RNAcentral. Lineage: Eukaryota; Metazoa; Chordata; Mammalia; Rodentia; Sciuridae.
CAUAAAUUUUUUUAGUUUAUCCUUGUCAUGGAAAGUUUUUAUUUUUUUCAUCAAUUUUGAAAGAGAGCUUUGCUGGACACAGAAAUCUUGGCAGGCAACUGUUUUCUUUUAGAUAAUGGAAUAUUUCAUUCCAGGCCCUCUUUGAUUUUAGGAUCUUGGUUGAAAAGGCUAAAGUGAGUCUUGUCGGUUUGCCUCUAAGUGACCUUACAUUUUUCUCUUGCAGCUUUUAAUAUUUUUUUCUUAUUUUCUAUGUUAGGCAUUUUGAUCAUGAGUUUCUGUUCUGAUCCUGACCUUUUCUGCCACUGAUCUCAAUUUGGUGUCCAGUUUGUCUUCUGUAUGUGAAUGUCUAUCUCAUUUCUAAUAUAGGGGAAAAUUUCUGUUACUAUCUCAUUGAAGAUGCUUUCAAUGCCUUUAGCAUAUAUAUUUAUGCUCUCUUUUAUCCUAGUAAUUCUCAGGUUUGUUCUCUUGAUGCUGUUUCAGAGUUUUUGUCUAUUCUGUUCAUGGUCUUUUAUUUAUUUUUUCCUUUAUUACGUACUGAGUGUUUGAGAUUAUAUACCCUGUCCCCAAGGUCUGAAGUUUUAUUUUCUAUGCAACCUAAUUCAUGAUGAUUUUACAUAAAUUUUUAAUUUGAUUCAUUGUGUCUUCAAUUUCUGGAUGUUCUGAUUGGUUUCUUUUCACUAUUUCCAUUUCUUAUUGAAAUGGUCUUUCAUUUUCUGUUUUUAAUCGCUUAAUUCAUUCCUUAUAUAUUCUUUUAGUUCAUUGAACAUUUUAACAAUCAGUUUUUUAAUAGUCUUUCUCUGGAAUUUCAUCCAUUUUCAUGUCCCUGGGGUCCUUUGCCAGGGACUGUGAAUUUGGGAAGCGAUUUGUUUGCCUCUUUCUUUAUGUUUUCACAGAUCUUGGAUUUCUGCAUCAGUUGAGAUGUAUUCCCCUUCCUCUUUUAUAUAUGUCAUUUUGUGUGUAGUUAUCCUUUUUUUUUCCCCCCCCUGGGACUUAUGUCUCAUGUAUGAGUAGAUUUCUAGGAGUAGAAUUUGAGGUUUCCCUCUUGUUUUUCCUUGGGGGGCCUGGUUGUUGGUUUGUUUUUUUUCCUCCCU